RNAcentral lists this ribosomal RNA (253 nucleotides) under uncultured bacterium. RNAcentral describes it as "partial 16S ribosomal RNA". It matches the Rfam family "Bacterial small subunit ribosomal RNA", at positions 524 to 776 of the family's 1533-position model. The record is from RNAcentral.
UCCAGAGGGUGCAAGCGUUAAUCGGAUUUACUGGGCGUAAGGCGUGCGUAGGCGGUUCAUUAAGUCGGUUGUGAAAUCCCUGGGCUUAACCUGGGAACUGCAGUCGAUACUGGUGAACUAGAAUGCGGUAGAGGGUGGCGGAACUCCGGGUGUAGCGGUGAAAUGCGUAGAUAUCCGGAAGAACACCGAUGGCGAAGGCAACCACCUGGGCCUGCAUUGACGCUGAGGUACGAAAGCGUGGGGAGCAAACAGG